CCUACGGGUGGCAGCAGUGAGGAAUAUUGGUCAAUGGGCGGAAGCCUGAACCAGCCAAGUCGCGUGAGGGAUUAAGGCCCUGCGGGUCGUAAACCUCUUUUGCCGGGGCGCAGUGGUCCGGCCGCGUCCGGACCGGGAGCGUACCCGGAGCCAAAGCAUCGGAUAACUCCGUGCCAGCAGCCGCGGUAAUACGGAGGAUGCGAGCGUUAUACGGAUUUAUUGGGUUUAAAGGGUGCGUAGGCGGGCAUUUAAGCCGGCGGUCAAAUGUCAGGUCUCAACCACGGCCUGCCGUCGGAACUGGGUGCUUUGAGUGGGCGAGAAGUAUGCGGAAUGCGUGGUGUAGCGGUGAAAUGCAUAGAUAUCACGAAGAACCCCGAUUGCGAAGGCAGCAUACCGGCGCCCUACUGACGCUGAGGCACGAAAGUGCGGGUAUCGAACAGGAUUAGAUACCCGGGUAGUC
This 460-nucleotide ribosomal RNA is filed under the name uncultured bacterium. Its description in RNAcentral is "partial 16S ribosomal RNA". It matches the Rfam family "Bacterial small subunit ribosomal RNA", at positions 338 to 795 of the family's 1533-position model. The record is from RNAcentral.